This 348-nucleotide unclassified non-coding RNA is filed under the name Hevea brasiliensis (rubber tree). The record is from RNAcentral. Lineage: Eukaryota; Viridiplantae; Streptophyta; Magnoliopsida; Malpighiales; Euphorbiaceae.
ACGAGUGGAAUGAGAAAACUUCUUAGGCUUCUUGUUGGCUGCCUGAUCAGAAGCUUCAGCAGUCUUUUUACUCUUCCUAACUCGUUUUCCUUCCUUAGUAACUGUUUUCUUGGACUUCUUCUGUACCUUUUUCCCUUGUGAGUCAUUUUCCACCAAAAACUCCUCAUCAUUCCCAAUUGUAACAGAAUCAUUAGGAUGUUCAGGCACAUAUUCCCCAUCACCAAUUACGUCUUCAUCAGACUCAUCUACUAGUCUAGAUGCAUUCACGGACUUUCUUCUACUCCUUAAUAAUCUACUCUCUCCGUUCUCUUCACUAAUUGCAGAAAGUUCAGAUGCAGGGAAUUUUUG